CCCUUAACUAUUAAAAGUUUCGUUUUGGUCCUUUAACUUACUUUUUGGUUUCGUUUUGGUCCUUAACUCUUCCUUCGUCAACCACUUUAGUCCUUUAUGUUAGGAUGAAUGUAUUAGAGUUAAGGGACCAAAACGAAACCAAAAAAUAAGUUAAGGGACCAAAACGAAACCAAAAAAUAAGUUAAGGUACCAAAACGAAACUUCUAAUACUUAAGGGACCAAAAGAAAACCCAAAAAUAAGUUAUGGGACCGAAACGAAACUUUUAAUAGUUAAGGAA
Molecule: microRNA precursor, 278 nt
Filed under: Medicago truncatula (barrel medic)
Lineage: Eukaryota; Viridiplantae; Streptophyta; Magnoliopsida; Fabales; Fabaceae
Description: MIR2655 microRNA precursor family
Rfam family: MIR2655 microRNA precursor family
Source: Rfam by way of RNAcentral